Molecule: ribosomal RNA, 253 nt
Filed under: uncultured bacterium
Lineage: Bacteria
Description: partial 16S ribosomal RNA
Rfam family: Bacterial small subunit ribosomal RNA
Source: RNAcentral
UACGUAGGGUGCGAGCGUUAAUCGGAAUUACUGGGCGUAAAGCGUGCGCAGGCGGUUGUGCAAGACAGAUGUGAAAUCCCCGGGCUUAACCUGGGAACUGCAUUUGUGACUGCACGACUAGAGUGUGUCAGAGGGGGGUAGAAUUCCACGUGUAGCAGUGAAAUGCGUAGAUAUGUGGAGGAAUACCGAUGGCGAAGGCAGCCCCCUGGGAUAACACUGACGCUCAUGCACGAAAGCGUGGGGAGCAAACAGG